RNAcentral lists this ribosomal RNA (434 nucleotides) under uncultured Clostridiales Family XIV bacterium. Its description in RNAcentral is "bacterial SSU rRNA". It matches the Rfam family "Bacterial small subunit ribosomal RNA", at positions 341 to 792 of the family's 1533-position model. Lineage: Bacteria; Bacillati; Bacillota; Clostridia; Eubacteriales; Clostridiales Family XIV. Incertae Sedis. The record is from RNAcentral.
ACGGAAGGCAGCAGUGGGGAAUAUUGCACAAUGGGGGAAACCCUGAUGCAGCGACGCCGCGUGAGUGAAGAAGUAUUUCGGUAUGUAAAGCUCUAUCAGCAGGAAAGAAAAUGACGGUACCUGACUAAGAAGCCCCGGCUAACUACGUGCCAGCAGCCGCGGUAAUACGUAGGGGGCAAGCGUUAUCCGGAUUUACUGGGUGUAAAGGGAGCGUAGACGGCUUUGCAAGUCUGAAGUGAAAGCCCGGGGCUCAACCCCGGAACUGCUUUGGAAACUGUAGAGCUGGAGUGCAGGAGAGGUAAGUGGAAUUCCUAGUGUAGCGGUGAAAUGCGUAGAUAUUAGGAGGAACACCAGUGGCGAAGGCGGCUUACUGGACUGUAACUGACGUUGAGGCUCGAAGGCGUGGGGAGCAAGCAGGAUUAGAUACCCUGGUA